RNAcentral lists this ribosomal RNA (119 nucleotides) under Methylomicrobium lacus. Lineage: Bacteria; Pseudomonadati; Pseudomonadota; Gammaproteobacteria; Methylococcales; Methylococcaceae. The record is from RNAcentral.
GCUUGGUGACCAUAGCGAGCGUGAACCACCCGAUCCCAUCCCGAACUCGGAAGUGAAACCGCUUAGCGCCGAUGAUAGUGUGGCAGGUUGCCAUGCGAAAGUAGGGAAUUGCCAAGCUC